RNAcentral lists this ribosomal RNA (404 nucleotides) under Actinomycetes bacterium. Its description in RNAcentral is "Actinobacteria bacterium partial 16S ribosomal RNA". It matches the Rfam family "Bacterial small subunit ribosomal RNA", at positions 355 to 776 of the family's 1533-position model. The record is from RNAcentral. Lineage: Bacteria; Bacillati; Actinomycetota; Actinomycetes.
UGGGGAAUAUUGGACAAUGGGCGCAAGCCUGAUCCAGCCAUGCCGCGUGAGUGAUGAAGGCCCUAGGGUUGUAAAGCUCUUUCACCGGUGAAGAUAAUGACGGUAACCGGAGAAGAAGCCCAGGCUAACUUCGUGCCAGCAGCCGCGGUAAUACGAAGGGGGCUGGCGUUGUUCGGAUUUACUGGGCGUAAAGCGCACGUAGGCGGACUAUUAAGUCAUGGGUGAAAUCCCGGGGCUCAACCUCGGAACUGCCUUUGAUACUGGUAUUCUUGAGUUCGAGAGAGGUGGGUGAAAUUCCAUGUGUAGAGGUGAAAUUCGUAGAUAUUCGGGGGAACACCAGUGGCGAAUGCGGCUCACUGGCGCGAUACUGACACUGAGGUGCGAAAGCGUGGAGAGCAAACAGG